AUUGCCCCUUGAGGCGUUGCAAUGCGACUGACCUGUCGUUUUUUGUGUCAUAAGGUGGCAUAGAAGAAAGGGCUAUGUUUACGCCUCGAACCCUUUUCUUCAGUGGGUUCUCAGUGUCUUUAUAGUCCUACAAG
Molecule: small nucleolar RNA, 134 nt
Organism: Astyanax mexicanus (Mexican tetra)
Lineage: Eukaryota; Metazoa; Chordata; Actinopteri; Characiformes; Acestrorhamphidae
Rfam family: Small nucleolar RNA SNORA17
About the family: snoRNA ACA 17 belongs to the H/ACA family of snoRNAs and is predicted to guide pseudouridylation of the 28S rRNA at positions U4659 and U4598. It shares the same host gene together with ACA43.
Source: Rfam